GGCUGAGGCGUGAUGACGAGGCACUACGGUGCUGAAGCAACAAAUGCCCUGCUUCCAGGAAAAGCCUCUAAGCAUCAGGUAACAUCAAAUCGUACCCCAAACCGACACAGGUGGUCAGGUAGAGAAUACCAAGGCGCUUGAGAGAACUCGGGUGAAGGAACUAGGCAAAAUGGUGCCGUAACUUCGGGAGAAGGCACGCUGAUAUGUAGGUGAAGUCCCUCGCGGAUGGAGCUGAAAUCAGUCGAAGAUACCAGCUGGCUGCAACUGUUUAUUAAAAACACAGCACUGUGCAAACACGAAAGUGGACGUAUACGGUGUGACGCCUGCCCGGUGCCGGAAGGUUAAUUGAUGGGGUUAGCGCAAGCGAAGCUCUUGAUCGAAGCCCCGGUAAACGGCGGCCGUAACUAUAACGGUCCUAAGGUAGCGAAAUUCCUUGUCGGGUAAGUUCCGACCUGCACGAAUGGCGUAAUGAUGGCCAGGCUGUCUCCACCCGAGACUCAGUGAAAUUGAACUCGCUGUGAAGAUGCAGUGUACCCGCGGCAAGACGGAAAGACCCCGUGAACCUUUACUAUAGCUUGACACUGAACAUUGAGCCUUGAUGUGUAGGAUAGGUGGGAGGCUUUGAAGUGUGGACGCCAGUCUGCAUGGAGCCGACCUUGAAAUACCACCCUUUAAUGUUUGAUGUUCUAACGUGGACCCGUAAUCCGGGUUGCGGACAGUGUCUGGUGGGUAGUUUGACUGGGGCGGUCUCCUCCUAAAGAGUAACGGAGGAGCACGAAGGUUGGCUAAUCCUGGUCGGACAUCAGGAGGUUAGUGCAAUGGCAUAAGCCAGCUUGACUGCGAGCGUGACGGCGCGAGCAGGUGCGAAAGCAGGUCAUAGUGAUCCGGUGGUUCUGAAUGGAAGGGCCAUCGCUCAACGGAUAAAAGGUACUCCGGGGAUAACAGGCUGAUACCGCCCAAGAGUUCAUAUCGACGGCGGUGUUUGGCACCUCGAUGUCGGCUCAUCACAUCCUGGGGCUGAAGUAGGUCCCAAGGGUAUGGCUGUUCGCCAUUUAAAGUGGUACGCGAGCUGGGUUUAGAACGUCGUGAGACAGUUCGGUCCCUAUCUGCCGUGGGCGCUGGAGAACUGAGGGGGGCUGCUCCUAGUACGAGAGGACCGGAGUGGACGCAUCACUGGUGUUCGGGUUGUCAUGCCAAUGGCACUGCCCGGUAGCUAAAUGCGGAAGAGAUAAGUGCUGAAAGCAUCUAAGCACGAAACUUGCC
Molecule: ribosomal RNA, 1263 nt
Filed under: Escherichia coli
Lineage: Bacteria; Pseudomonadati; Pseudomonadota; Gammaproteobacteria; Enterobacterales; Enterobacteriaceae
Description: partial 23S ribosomal RNA
Rfam family: Bacterial large subunit ribosomal RNA
Source: RNAcentral